UAUGAUGUUAUUCUUAGGUACAUUAUUUGCAUUUCUAAAAGCCGGAUGCUUACAAGCAUUGAAAUAAAAGGCAGCAACAGUAAUGAAAACAAAUAAAUCCUUUCAUUUCAGCUUCAACCCCUAAAGAUGCCAAAUAAUGUACCUAAGAAUAACAUCAUAUUACAUGCAUGCCUGACUGCAAAUCAUCUAAAGUUUUAAAAGAUGAUUGUUGUCAAAGCCUACAAGGCAACUUAGUUGAGAAUCUUCACAGGAGAAAAUAUUUCUCAACCCAAUAGGCAAUGACAGCAGGACACUGACUGGGUGGGAAAUAAUCUAUAAAUAUAGAUGAAGUUAUUACCAUGAUUUAAAGGAUUUUACACCAAAAUCUUGUAUGUGCAGGAAAAUCAGCUCCUUGUUACAAUUGCCUUCACCUGGGACACUUGCUAAAUCUUGGAAACAAAUCCUCAAUGCCGGAAAGUCUUCACUACCUGCUCUAUCCGUCUCCGGCAUAGAGGACAGUUUGUCAGAUGUGAAGAGCAUGUCGUACAACAGCACAUAUGGCCACACGGGAGAAAAACGGCAUUAUACUCCUGCUCAAGGCAUAUUACACAUAGAUCUGGAAUUGGACGUUCCCUCUUAGAAUUGUCUGAUCCAUUCUCAGCUUUUCCAUUUGAACCUUCAGAAUCUUGAUCUUGUCUCUUAGCAGCAGCAGCAAGAACCCUGCUCUGCAGUUCCCAACGGCGCCUUCUCUCCAUGAUAUACUGUAUAGCAUGCUUGGCAAUCAGAAAAACGCCAAAAACUGUCAAGCCGACUGAGGCAUAUCUAUACCACCUUGCCCACUUUCCCAAAUUCCCAAUGAGCUCAUCAAUAGUCCUAGGAGAUACGUAAAAUGGCCCUUUGUGGGGACGCUGGACCCGAACAGUUCCAACAUCAUCCUUGACGGCCUCACCAACCACAGUCAAUGAAGUACCAGUUGGAAGUACCCUUUCGAUACGCUUCACACCAAGCAUCUUGAGGCCUUGGAGAUAGUCUAAUGUUCCACGUACAAGUGAUCGUCCUGACUCUUCAAAAAUUUCACUUCCAACAGUUAACACAAACCCAGAGGCACCUCGGGCCCCCACAACAUAUACUCGAUCAGUCCCGUCAUCCAGGUACCAUGGGACUUCUUUACUCAUUGAUAGCAUUAAGGCUGAAUCUUGAAUCCAAGAUCCAGAAUCGUUGUGCUUGAGGAAGUGUUGUUCAGCCGUCUCCUCUACUAUAACACCUCUCAAGCCACUAUACUCGCAAUUAAUUGGAGUCUCUGAGCCAACUCUUCCAGAGAUAGCAACAACCAAAGGUAAGACUUUGCUUUCAAUAUCAAGUAAUUUUGCCAAUUCCUUCAGCUGAUUGACUCUUGCGACCGAUUUAAGACCCUCUGCACCCCUGCCACUGCUCCUGCCAAGCAAAUAGAGCGCAGCAGCACUCAAACAGCAACUAAUUCCACCCCAUGGAAGCAUCUUCAACGAUCAGCUUAACAGAAACAAAAACCCUAAGCGGCCUCAAACCGUCUGAAUUUAAAUUAUUGUCAUNNNNNNNAUAAACAAAAGAAGAAAAAUAAAAUCCAAUCGAUUGAGAAAUACGAUGGCAAACAACCAAGAGAAGCGAAACGAGUGAAUUCAAUGAGAGGGAACAAAAAUUAGCGAAGCAAAUGCAAAAUGGAGGGAAAAUU
RNAcentral lists this unclassified non-coding RNA (1687 nucleotides) under Hevea brasiliensis (rubber tree). The record is from RNAcentral. Lineage: Eukaryota; Viridiplantae; Streptophyta; Magnoliopsida; Malpighiales; Euphorbiaceae.